UACGGGGGGGGCAAGCGUUGUUCGGAAUUACUGGGCGUAAAGGGCUCGUAGGCGGCCAACUAAGUCCGACGUGAAAUCCCCAGGCUUAACCUGGGAACUGCGUCGGAUACUGGAUGGCUUGAAUUCGGGAGAGGGAUGCAGAAUUCCAGGUGUAGCGGUGAAAUGCGUAGAUAUCAGGAGGAACACCGGUGGCGAAGGCGGGUCUCUGGGCCGAAACUGACGCUGAGGAGCGAAAGCGUGGGGAGCGAACAGG
Molecule: ribosomal RNA, 253 nt
Filed under: uncultured bacterium
Lineage: Bacteria
Description: partial 16S ribosomal RNA
Rfam family: Bacterial small subunit ribosomal RNA
Source: RNAcentral